CUCUCCUCCAUGUGUCUCGAAAAGGCAGAGGAAACAGUCCUACAAAGACACAGUGUGUCUGCUGUGUUGGAGGGACAGGAAGGAAACCAGUAUGGCUUGAGUGGAGUAAACCAUGGCAAAGUAGGCGCAGGACCAGCAGGAUGGUAUUGCAUGAGCUUGAGUUCAGCUUUGCAGAUUCAUUAUAAGCAGCUGCAUACACAUGGAUGUGCUUACCUGGGCAGAAGGCAAAAGACCCUCUCAAGUAUCUCAAAUGGAUGGAACCAGGGAUAUGGCAGUGUCUACAAGAAGAAACAGAGAGAGCUUCAAAGAAAAGUCUCAUUCCAUAAAGCCCUACUCCAAAACCCAGCGACUGACUAAAUGUUCUUAUUCGGAGCAUGUGAGAGGCUGAGUCCUACUCAGAGUGCUGUUGAAGGCCAUCGCCCAUGUGUGCCCUGCCCUUUGGCUCAUCAUCCAAGCAGUUCAGGCCAGCUUGGCAGCAGCCCACCCCCAUGUCUGCUAAUCAGCAAAGCCCAUUCUCCAGCACAGCCUGCUGCGGGCGGGGACCAGAGAACAAGAAGUCUUCAGACAGGACGGAAAGAGCAGCCCAUGUUGUCAGAGGGGAAACUGCCAGGAAGGCCCAGCUCUCUUUAUAACA
Molecule: long non-coding RNA, 634 nt
Organism: Jaculus jaculus (lesser Egyptian jerboa)
Lineage: Eukaryota; Metazoa; Chordata; Mammalia; Rodentia; Dipodidae
Exons: 3
Source: RefSeq, a predicted model, not a curated record